This 600-nucleotide ribosomal RNA is filed under the name uncultured bacterium. RNAcentral's name for it is "bacterial SSU rRNA". It matches the Rfam family "Bacterial small subunit ribosomal RNA", at positions 879 to 1482 of the family's 1533-position model. The record is from RNAcentral.
AGUACGGUCGCAAGAUUAAAACUCAAAGGAAUUGACGGGGACCCGCACAAGCGGUGGAUGAUGUGGAUUAAUUCGAUGCAACGCGAAAAACCUUACCUACCCUUGACAUGUCACUAACGAAGUAGAGAUACAUUAGGUGCUCGUAAGAGAAAGUGAACACAGGUGCUGCAUGGCUGUCGUCAGCUCGUGUCGUGAGAUGUUGGGUUAAGUCCCGCAACGAGCGCAACCCUUGUCUUUAGUUGCUACGCAAGAGCACUCUAAAGAGACUGCCGGUGACAAACCGGAGGAAGGUGGGGAUGACGUCAAGUCCUCAUGGCCCUUAUGGGUAGGGCUUCACACGUCAUACAAUGGUGCAUACAGAGGGUUGCCAACCCGCGAGGGGGAGCUAAUCUCAGAAAAUGCAUCGUAGUCCGGAUCGUAGUCUGCAACUCGACUACGUGAAGCUGGAAUCGCUAGUAAUCGCGGAUCAGAAUGUCGCGGUGAAUACGUUCCCGGGUCUUGUACACACCGCCCGUCAUACCAUGGGAGUGGGUUUUGCCAGAAGCCGUUAGCCUAACCGCAAGGGGGGCGACUGCCACGGCAGGGUUCAUGACUGGGGUA